Non-coding RNA from Ditylenchus destructor, 87 nucleotides. The record is from the annotation of a GenBank genome assembly. NCBI's taxonomy places the organism in Eukaryota, Metazoa, Nematoda, Chromadorea, Rhabditida, Anguinidae.
CCAACCAUAGCUCAGUUAGUAGAGCGGUGGACUGUAGAGUACGACGAAGCCAUCCAUAGGUCGUGUGUGCAACUCACACUGGUUGGA